This 642-nucleotide ribosomal RNA is filed under the name uncultured bacterium. RNAcentral's name for it is "bacterial SSU rRNA". It matches the Rfam family "Bacterial small subunit ribosomal RNA", at positions 66 to 720 of the family's 1533-position model. The record is from RNAcentral.
ACGGAUUUAGAAGAGCUUGCUUUUCUAAGUUAGUGGCGGACGGGUGAGUAACACGUGGAUAACCUGCCUUAGACAGAGGGAUAACAAUCAGAAAUGGUUGCUAAAACCUCAUAAGCUUACAGCAUGGCAUCAUGCAGUGAGAAAAUAUUAAUAGGUCUAAGAGGGGUCCGCGUCUGAUUAGCUAGUUGGUGAGGUAAGGGCCCACCAAGGCGACGAUCAGUAGCCGGCCUGAGAGGGCGAACGGCCACAUUGGGACUGAGACACGGCCCAAACUCCUACGGGAGGCAGCAGUGGGGAAUAUUGCGCAAUGGGGGAAACCCUGACGCAGCAAUGCCGCGUGAAGGAAGACGGUUUUCGGAUUGUAAACUUCUAUCGAUGGGGAAGAAAGAAAUGACGGUACCCAAGUAAGAAGCACCGGCUAAAUACGUGCCAGCAGCCGCGGUAAUACGUAUGGUGCAAGCGUUAUCCGGAAUUACUGGGCGUAAAGGGUGAGUAGGCGGCUAGACAAGUCACAUGUGAAAAUUAAGGGCUCAACCCUUGACUUGCAUGAGAAACUGUUAAGCUGGAGUGCAGGAGAGGUAAGCGGAAUUCCUAGUGUAGCGGUGAAAUGCGUAGAUAUUAGGAAGAACACCAGUGGCGAAG